Non-coding RNA from Paramuricea clavata, 126 nucleotides. NCBI's taxonomy places the organism in Eukaryota, Metazoa, Cnidaria, Anthozoa, Malacalcyonacea, Plexauridae. The record is from the annotation of a GenBank genome assembly.
AACAAUAUAAGGAGAAUUUCAAUGUUUCGAGCGAAAGCCGUUCAUCUGGAGUUGCUGGAGUCAGUAACUCCAGACAAAGGGCUUUCGCUCGAAAAAUUGAAAUUCUCCUUAUAUUUUUCAGGUAGU